GUGGGGCAGGACAGGCCUGGGAAGAUAAGGAGCACAGGGUUGAGAAGGCAGGAAGAGAGUUGAAGGAACCACUGAAAGUGAGAGAGAAUGUUGUCCUGCGAUUUACUUCAGUGUCCAGCCCAGGUGAACCUUGGAGUGGAAAAGUGGGAACUGUGACUACCCCAUGUUCGUCAUUGCACAUCUCCAAGUUCAAAAUGAAGGUCAGACUGGAAAGCUUGCAGAGAUGUCAGCUUUGUAGUACAAGCAGGAAGAGACAGCAUAGCAACAAAAACACAACAGCGUCUGAGUAAUGGUUCUAAUGAAGAAGAGGGCAACAAGAAGACUUCAGCUACUGGCAACAGAAGAGGAAAACAGUGCAGUCAAGGAGCUUCUUAGCUCUGAGAAUUUGAACUUUCUUUUUUUCUGAAUGAACUGAAACUUCUAAACCCCUAUUGAAGCCUAUCAGUAUGUCAUAAGUUACUAAAAAUAAGUCAGUCAUCGAAACCUAUAAUAAAUGAAAUGUUUUCACUAAGGAUAUUAUAUGU
Molecule: long non-coding RNA, 524 nt
Filed under: Junco hyemalis (dark-eyed junco)
Lineage: Eukaryota; Metazoa; Chordata; Aves; Passeriformes; Passerellidae
Description: lncRNA (ENSJHYG00000014366.1)
Source: RNAcentral